GACGAACGCUGGCGGCGUGCUUAACACAUGCAAGUCGAACGGAAAGGCCCUGCUUUCGUGGUGUGCUCGAGUGGCGAACGGGUGAGUAACACGUGAGUAACCUGCCCUUGACUUUGGGAUAACUUCAGGAAACUGGGGCUAAUACCGGAUAGGAGCUCCUGCUGCAUGGUGGGGGGUGGAAAGUUUCGGCGGUUGGGGAUGGACUCGCGGCUUAUCAGCUUGUGGGUGGGGUAGUGGCUUACCAAGGCUUUGACGGGUAGCCGGCCUGAGAGGGUGACCGGCCACAGUGGGACUGGGAUGCGGCCCAGACUCAUACGGGAGGCAGCAGUGGGGAAUAUUGGACAAUGGGCGGAAGCCUGAUGCAGCAACGCCGCGUGCGGGAUGUCGGCCUUCGGGUUGGAAACCGCUUUCGCCUAUGACGAAGCGUGAGUGACGGUAAUGGGUAAAGAAGCACCGGCUAACUACGUG
This 468-nucleotide ribosomal RNA is filed under the name uncultured bacterium. RNAcentral's name for it is "partial 16S ribosomal RNA". It matches the Rfam family "Bacterial small subunit ribosomal RNA", at positions 28 to 507 of the family's 1533-position model. The record is from RNAcentral.